CCUACGGGAGGCAGCAGUGGGGGGUAUUGCGCAAUGGGCGGAAGCCUGACGCAGCGACGCCGCGUGAGGGACGGAGGCCUUCGGGUUGUGAACCUCUUUCGCCGGUGGAGAAGGCGCCCCCGUGUGGGGUGCUGACUGUAGCCGGGUUAAGAAGCGCCGGCUAACUACGUGCCAGCAGCCGCGGUAAUACGUAGGGCGCGAGCGUUGUCCGGAGUUACUGGGCGUAAAGGGCUUGUAGGCGGCCGGUCGCGUCCGCCGUGAAAUCCCCUGGCUCAACCGGGGGCGUGCGGUGGGUACGGGCCGGCUUGAGUGCGGUAGGGGAGGCUGGAACUCCUGGUGUAGCGGUGGAAUGCGCAGAUAUCAGGAAGAACACCGGUGGCGAAGGCGGGUCUCUGGGCCGUUACUGACGCUGAGGAGCGAGAGCGUGGGGAGCGAACAGGAUUAGAUACCCCGGUAGUC
Molecule: ribosomal RNA, 459 nt
Filed under: uncultured Actinomyces sp.
Lineage: Bacteria; Bacillati; Actinomycetota; Actinomycetes; Actinomycetales; Actinomycetaceae
Description: bacterial SSU rRNA
Rfam family: Bacterial small subunit ribosomal RNA
Source: RNAcentral